This 30-nucleotide non-coding RNA is filed under the name Rattus norvegicus (Norway rat). Lineage: Eukaryota; Metazoa; Chordata; Mammalia; Rodentia; Muridae. The record is from RNAcentral.
UAGGGAAAGAAUUGGUAUUUCUCUCUCUGC